UCUAAUAUGGCAGAAAUUGUAUGCAAUGAACUUAAAAUUCAUUUAUAAAGAUUAAUCUUUUUUUAGAA
Molecule: transfer RNA, 68 nt
Filed under: Tuberculatus yokoyamai
Lineage: Eukaryota; Metazoa; Arthropoda; Insecta; Hemiptera; Aphididae
Description: tRNA-Leu
Rfam family: tRNA
About the family: Transfer RNA (tRNA) molecules are approximately 80 nucleotides in length.
Source: RNAcentral